GGGUUGUGAGGUUAAGCGACUAAGCGUACACGGUGGAUGCCCUGGCAGUCAGAGGCGAUGAAGGACGUGCUAAUCUGCGAAAAGCGUCGGUAAGGUGAUAUGAACCGUUACAGCCGGCGAUGUCCGAAUGGGGAAACCCAGUGUGAUUCGUCACACUAUCGUUAACUGAAUACAUAGGUUAACGAGGCGAACCGGGGGAACUGAAACAUCUAAGUACCCCGAGGAAAAGAAAUCAACCGAGAUUCCCCCAGUAGCGGCGAGCGAACGGGGAGCAGCCCAGAGUCUGAAUCAGCUUGUGUGUUAGUGGAACGGUCUGGAAAGUCCGACGGUACAGGGUGAUAGUCCCGUACACCAAAAUGCACAGGUUGUGAACUCGAAGAGUAGGGCGGGACACGUGGUAUCCUGUCUGAAUAUGGGGGGACCAUCCUCCAAGGCUAAAUACUCCUGACUGACCGAUAGUGAACCAGUACCGUGAGGGAAAGGCGAAAAGAACCCCGGCGAGGGGAGUGAAAAAGAACCUGAAACCGUGUACGUACAAGCAGUGGGAGCACCUUCGGGUGUGACUGCGUACCUUUUGUAUAAUGGGUCAGCGACUUAUAUUCUGUAGCAAGGUUAACCGUAUAGGGGAGCCGCAGGGAAACCGAGUCUUAACUGGGCGUUAAGUUGCAGGGUAUAGACCCGAAACCCGGUGAUCUAGCCAUGGGCAGGUUGAAGGUUGGGUAACACUAACUGGAGGACCGAACCGACUAAUGUUGAAAAAUUAGCGGAUGACUUGUGGCUGGGGGUGAAAGGCCAAUCAAACCGGGAGAUAGCUGGUUCUCCCCGAAAGCUAUUUAGGUAGCGCCUCGUGAACUCAUCUUCGGGGGUAGAGCACUGUUUCGGCUAGGGGGUCAUCCCGACUUACCAACCCGAUGCAAACUACGAAUACCGAAGAAUGUUAUCACGGGAGACACACGGCGGGUGCUAACGUCCGUCGUGAAGAGGGAAACAACCCAGACCGCCAGCUAAGGUCCCAAAGUCACAGUUAAGUGGGAAACGAUGUGGGAAGGCACAGACAGCCAGGAUGUUGGCUUAGAAGCAGCCAUCAUUUAAAGAAAGCGUAAUAGCUCACUGGUCGAGUCGGCCUGCGCGGAAGAUGUAACGGGGCUAAACUGUGCACCGAAGCUGCGGCAGCGACACUUAGGUGUUGUUGGGUAGGGGAGCGUUCUGUAAGCCUGCGAAGGUGGCCUGUGAGGGUUGCUGGAGGUAUCAGAAGUGCGAAUGCUGACAUAAGUAACGAUAAUGCGGGUGAAAAGCCCGCACGCCGGAAGACCAAGGGUUCCUGUCCAACGUUAAUCGGGGCAGGGUGAGUCGACCCCUAAGGCGAGGCCGAAAGGCGUAGUCGAUGGGAAACAGGUUAAUAUUCCUGUACUUGGUGUUACUGCGAAGGGGGGACGGAGAAGGCUAUGUUAGCCGGGCGACGGUUGUCCCGGUUUAAGCAUGUAGGCGGAGGUUCCAGGUAAAUCCGGUACCUUUUAACGCUGAGGUGUGAUGACGAGGCACUACGGUGCUGAAGUAACAAAUGCCCUGCUUCCAGGAAAAGCCUCUAAGCAUCAGGUAACAUUGAAUCGUACCCCAAACCGACACAGGUGGUCAGGUAGAGAAUACCAAGGCGCUUGAGAGAACUCGGGUGAAGGAACUAGGCAAAAUGGUGCCGUAACUUCGGGAGAAGGCACGCUGAUAUGUAGGUGAAGCCCCUGCGGGUGGAGCUGAAAUCAGUCGAAGAUACCAGCUGGCUGCAACUGUUUAUUAAAAACACAGCACUGUGCAAACACGAAAGUGGACGUAUACGGUGUGACGCCUGCCCGGUGCCGGAAGGUUAAUUGAUGGGGUUAUCCGUAAGGAGAAGCUCUUGAUCGAAGCCCCGGUAAACGGCGGCCGUAACUAUAACGGUCCUAAGGUAGCGAAAUUCCUUGUCGGGUAAGUUCCGACCUGCACGAAUGGCGUAAUGAUGGCCAGGCUGUCUCCACCCGAGACUCAGUGAAAUUGAACUCGCUGUGAAGAUGCAGUGUACCCGCGGCAAGACGGAAAGACCCCGUGAACCUUUACUAUAGCUUGACACUGAACAUUGAGCCUUGAUGUGUAGGAUAGGUGGGAGGCUUUGAAGCGUGGACGCCAGUCUGCGUGGAGCCAACCUUGAAAUACCACCCUUUAAUGUUUGAUGUUCUAACGUUGGCCCCUGACCGGGGUUGCGGACAGUGUCUGGUGGGUAGUUUGACUGGGGCGGUCUCCUCCCAAAGAGUAACGGAGGAGCACGAAGGUUAGCUAAUCCUGGUCGGACAUCAGGAGGUUAGUGCAAUGGCAUAAGCUAGCUUGACUGCGAGCGUGACGGCGCGAGCAGGUGCGAAAGCAGGUCAUAGUGAUCCGGUGGUUCUGAAUGGAAGGGCCAUCGCUCAACGGAUAAAAGGUACUCCGGGGAUAACAGGCUGAUACCGCCCAAGAGUUCAUAUCGACGGCGGUGUUUGGCACCUCGAUGUCGGCUCAUCACAUCCUGGGGCUGAAGUAGGUCCCAAGGGUAUGGCUGUUCGCCAUUUAAAGUGGUACGCGAGCUGGGUUUAGAACGUCGUGAGACAGUUCGGUCCCUAUCUGCCGUGGGCGCUGGAGAAUUGAGGGGGGCUGCUCCUAGUACGAGAGGACCGGAGUGGACGCAUCACUGGUGUUCGGGUUGUCAUGCCAAUGGCAUUGCCCGGUAGCUAAAUGCGGAAGAGAUAAGUGCUGAAAGCAUCUAAGCACGAAACUUGCCCCGAGAUGAGUUCUCCCUGAGACUUUAAGUCUCCUGAAGGAACGUUAAAGACGAUGACGUUGAUAGGUCGGGUGUGUAAGCGUAGCGAUACGUUGAGCUAACCGAUACUAAUGAACCGUGAGGCUUAACCUUACAACGCCGAAGGUGUUU
This 2932-nucleotide ribosomal RNA is filed under the name Klebsiella aerogenes. RNAcentral's name for it is "bacterial LSU rRNA". It matches the Rfam family "Bacterial large subunit ribosomal RNA". Lineage: Bacteria; Pseudomonadati; Pseudomonadota; Gammaproteobacteria; Enterobacterales; Enterobacteriaceae. The record is from RNAcentral.